Molecule: ribosomal RNA, 80 nt
Filed under: Neogale vison (American mink)
Lineage: Eukaryota; Metazoa; Chordata; Mammalia; Carnivora; Mustelidae
Source: RNAcentral
UCCCAUCACCCUGAACACGCCCGAUCUUGUCUAAUCUCAGAAGCUAAGCAGCGUCGGGCCUGGUUUGUACUUGGAUGGAC